UACGUAGGGGGCAAGCGUUGUCCGGAUUUAUUGGGCGUAAAGAGCGUGUAGGCGGCCAGACAGGUCUGCUGUGAAAACUCGAGGCUCAACCUCGAGACGCCGGUGGAAACCGUCUGGCUAGAGUCCGGAAGAGGAGAGUGGAAUUCCUGGUGUAGCGGUGGAAUGCGCAGAUAUCAGGAGGAACACCAAUAGCGAAGGCAGCUCGCUGGGACGUUACUGACACUGAGGCGCGAAAGCGUGGGGAGCGAACAGG
This 253-nucleotide ribosomal RNA is filed under the name uncultured bacterium. RNAcentral describes it as "partial 16S ribosomal RNA". It matches the Rfam family "Bacterial small subunit ribosomal RNA", at positions 524 to 776 of the family's 1533-position model. The record is from RNAcentral.